This 814-nucleotide long non-coding RNA is filed under the name Panax ginseng (ginseng). RNAcentral's name for it is "long non-coding RNA (PGIN_LNC010895)". The record is from RNAcentral. Lineage: Eukaryota; Viridiplantae; Streptophyta; Magnoliopsida; Apiales; Araliaceae.
UGACUUUUACCGCGAUGUCUAUCGAGCAUUUUAUACUUUUUUUUAAUCCAAAAAUACCCUUAACGUUAUAAUUUUUGAGUCGUCCGUGCCUUUGUUGUUAACAGAUCUGCCAACUAGACAAACGAGAUUGAUAUUUGGACAUUUUGCUGACGUGUCAAAUAAUUAAAACAAAAAUUGCAAUCAUACCAUCUGAUGUGUAUAAAAAUAAUAUUUUAUAUAUAUUUGAUAAUUUAUUUAUUGUGUAUAUCGUAUAUAUUUUUUUCUUUAUUUUCUCUCUCCUCAACUAUCCCCAAUAUUCUCCACCACCAUCCGCCGCCCAUCACUGCCGUCCGUCACCCAAAAAAAAUUCAUGGAACCAAUAAUCCAAAACACACACAUGCUCUUGGGAACUCAGAGGAGAGAGAUGCAAGCCCGUUGCAAAAGUUGCAAAUGAAUUUUGAGUCAAAACUAGAGUAAUCAAUUUGUAUUUAGUCUUCAUUAAUCCUAAUCGACCGGACCCAUUAAUAAAAGUCAAUAACCUCCUUCCAUGACUGCAAGUCAACCCCGACCUCUCUGAAUUGCCGAUUCUCUCUCUUCUGAGUUCUGAGAGUCAGCCACGAGAAUGGGCGACAGACGGCCAAGACAAACCCAUUCUCACCAAAGUGAUAAAAUACAAAUUGAUUGUUCUAAUUUUGACUCAAAAGAUCUCUCUCCCAGUUGGGUAUAUAAAAUAAAAGAUAAUAAGGAGACAAAGUGAGAUUCAGAGAGUGAGGCUCAGAUCUGAGAAGAAUGAUAGAUUUAGAGAGAGAAAAUGGAUAUGGAUUUUUGGACGAAU